CUGCUGUACCACCACAAUGGGCUGUAACGUUAGCGCCGCUGUGUCUGAGGCAACCACAUAAGAAAAGUAAACCUCCACCUUGUGCUGUACCAAGGUUUAGGAGAUCUCCCCGCUGUUUUUGAACAUUGUUUAGCAGAAUGGAUCCAAUUCACGUCCUGGUGUAGAAGACAUCAGACGUCGGAGACAGAAAUUAAAGCCGAUCAAUUGACAAUAGAUCAGACAAGCAUUUCAGAUCCUCCUAGAAAACUCUCUGAAAACUUCUUCACCCUUUUAUCUCUCGUCUUCAUCAGGUCUGGAGAAGAUUAGUGCCCAUGUCGAUGCAUAAUGUUGAUUAGCCCCAGCUCACAUCCGCUGGACCAGAGCCUGCUGGAUUACCCUAAACUACUGGAGCCAUUUCCAAACUCCAUCUUUACAAGCACAUCACAAGUCAGUUCAAAUAAUCUCAGAAACGUCCAGCGCCCAUCCAUCAUUAGGACUCACCAGAACCGUUUGUCAGGAAGGAAGUGAAGGAUCACUACACACUAGAAUUAAACUGGUAAAUAUUCAGUUUCAUUGCUUUAGGCUCCAUUCAGUCACCAGAAACAAAGAAAGCAUGAGCUCCAACAGAGAAAAGACUCUUCCUGGCCUUUCUUUUCUUUAAAGGUGGUUUGUUAAAGAGCAACAGCUCAGCUUGUUAACUUGUUAACUUGCUUCAGUUGCAUCAAAGCAGGGUAAAUUAAGCCAAGGAAAGUUACCAUGGAGAUUUAUGCUUUGCAGCUAGGCUGCUCCAGGGCAGGCUAAAAACUAGGCUAGAAUUAAUCCUAGUGCUUGAUCAGUCAGCUCCGCUGUAUUCCUACUAGAGAUCAGUGUGUGUCACAAUUCCAUGCACUUCUGUAAAUAUGAUACAUCAUUUAUUAGCAUGCCCCAAACCUAUAUAUAAAACAUAUAAAAUAUAAAUAUAUAUAAUAUAUAUAUUUUAAUCAUCCUAGUAUGCAUAAUGUUUGUUUACUGUUAUCAUGAAGACAGUGGUUCAUAUUAUUGUAAGAGACAACAGGCCUAUAACCAUGCCCACCCUAGAACAAGGGCUCGAAUCGAAAUGACCUUUGGGCUCCUUAAAUCAGGCUUUCAGUGCCUGCACCACCUGAGAGUCUCCUCAGACAGGGCUGUGAUGUGACUGUGGCCUGUACUGUGCUGCAUAAUACUGCCAGCCUGAGAAGAGAGAGCCCCAAGAGUUGUUAAUGAUACUGACUUUUUACAGAUGACAGAAAUGGUAGACUGUGCAGAGAACAGUACAUACUUCAUUUCAGUUAAUUGUUUUGAUGUAGCCUGUCCCUGAGUAGGAUAAUGUGUCACUCAUUCAUGUGUACUCUAAACAACUACUAACACAGACUGUCUGAUUACCUCCUCAAACUUUAGUUUGACUGUAUUGAAUCAAGAAGCAUAUACACUAGUGUACAAGACAUCCAUAAUAAAGACAGAGCA
Molecule: long non-coding RNA, 1461 nt
Filed under: Betta splendens (Siamese fighting fish)
Lineage: Eukaryota; Metazoa; Chordata; Actinopteri; Anabantiformes; Osphronemidae
Description: lncRNA (ENSBSLG00000001434.1)
Source: RNAcentral